RNAcentral lists this ribosomal RNA (253 nucleotides) under uncultured prokaryote. RNAcentral describes it as "partial 16S ribosomal RNA". It matches the Rfam family "Bacterial small subunit ribosomal RNA", at positions 524 to 776 of the family's 1533-position model. The record is from RNAcentral.
UACAGAGGUGGCAAGCGUUGUUCGGAAUUACUGGGCGUAAAGGGCGUGUAGGCGGCUUCUUUAGUCAGACGUGAAAUCCCCCGGCUUAACCUGGGAACUGCGUCUGAUACUGGGAAGCUAGAGUUCGGGAGAGGGAUGUAGAAUUCCAGGUGUAGCGGUGAAAUGCGUAGAUAUCUGGAGGAAUACCGGUGGCGAAGGCGGCAUCCUGGACCGAAACUGACGCUUAAGCGCGAAAGCUAGGGGAGCAAACGGG